AGUGAACGCUGGCGGUAGGCCUAACACAUGCAAGUCGAACGGCAGCACAGUAAGAGCUUGCUCUUACGGGUGGCGAGUGGCGGACGGGUGAGGAAUACAUCGGAAUCUACUUUUUCGUGGGGGAUAACGUAGGGAAACUUACGCUAAUACCGCAUACGACCUACGGGUGAAAGCAGGGGAUCUUCGGACCUUGCGCGAUUGAAUGAGCCGCUGUCGGAUUAGCUAGUUGGCGGGGUAAAGGCCCACCAAGGCGACGAUCCGUAGCUGGUCUGCGAGGAUGAUCAGCCACACUGGAACUGGGACACGGUCCAGACUCCUACGGGAGGCAGCAGUGGGGAAUAUUGGACAAUGGGCGCAAGCCUGAUCCAGCCAUACCGCGUGGGUGAAGGAGGCCUUCGGGUUGUAAAGCCCUUUUGUUGGGAAAGAAAAGCAGCAGGUUAAUACCCCGCUGUUCUGACGGUACCCAAAGAAUAAGCACCGGCUAACUUCGUG
RNAcentral lists this ribosomal RNA (492 nucleotides) under uncultured bacterium. Its description in RNAcentral is "partial 16S ribosomal RNA". It matches the Rfam family "Bacterial small subunit ribosomal RNA", at positions 29 to 507 of the family's 1533-position model. The record is from RNAcentral.